CCCUUAGAUGUUCUGGGCCGCACGCGCGCUACACUGAGUAAAUCAAUGGGUAAGGGAACACGAAAGUGCAACCUAAUCUUGAAAUUUGCUCGUGAUGGGGAUCGACGGUUGCAAUUUUCCGUCGUGAACGAGGAAUACCUUGUAGGCGCGUGUCAUCAUCACGCGCCGAAUACGUCCCUGCCCUUUGUACACACCGCCCGUCGCUCCUACCGAUUGAGUGAUCCGGUGAGGCUCUGGGACCUGGACGGAAAGAGCGUUUCGCUUGUUCUGUUUGGGAAACUUGGUCGAACCUUAUCAUUUAGAGGAAGGAGAAGUCGUAACA
Molecule: ribosomal RNA, 322 nt
Filed under: uncultured eukaryote
Lineage: Eukaryota
Description: partial 18S ribosomal RNA
Rfam family: Eukaryotic small subunit ribosomal RNA
Source: RNAcentral